CCUACGGGGAGGCAGCAGUGGGGAAUAUUGGACAAUGGGCGAAAGCCUGAUCCAGCCAUGCCGCGUGUGUGAAGAAGGCCUUCGGGUUGUAAAGCACUUUCAGUGGGGAAGAAAGCCUUGGGGCUAAUACCCUCGAGGAAGGACAUCACCCACAGAAGAAGCACCGGCUAACUCCGUGCCAGCAGCCGCGGUAAUACGGAGGGUGCGAGCGUUAAUCGGAAUUACUGGGCGUAAAGCGCGCGUAGGCGGUCUGAUAAGCCGGUUGUGAAAGCCCCGGGCUCAACCUGGGAACGGCAUCCGGAACUGUCAGGCUAGAGUGCAGGAGAGGAAGGUAGAAUUCCCGGUGUAGCGGUGAAAUGCGUAGAGAUCGGGAGGAAUACCAGUGGCGAAGGCGGCCUUCUGGACUGACACUGACGCUGAGGUGCGAAAGCGUGGGUAGCAAACAGGAUUAGAUACCCGGGUAGUC
Molecule: ribosomal RNA, 466 nt
Filed under: Vreelandella stevensii
Lineage: Bacteria; Pseudomonadati; Pseudomonadota; Gammaproteobacteria; Oceanospirillales; Halomonadaceae
Description: partial 16S ribosomal RNA
Rfam family: Bacterial small subunit ribosomal RNA
Source: RNAcentral